CCCUUAGAUGUUCUGGGCCGCACGCGUGCUACACUGAGUGGAUCAGCGGGUCAGGUUGCGCGAAAGCGUUUCCUAAUCUUUAAAUCCGCUCGUGAUGGGGAUUGACGGUUGCAAUUUUCUGUCAUGAACGAGGAAUACCUUGUAAGCGCGGGUCAUCAUCCCGCGCUGAAUACGUCCCUGCCCUUUGUACACACCGUCCGUCGCUCCUACCGAUUGAGUGGUCCGGUGAGGCUUUGGGAUCUGAGCGGAAAGAGCGUUUCGCUGUUUCUGCUCGGAAAACUCAGUCGAACCUUAUCAUUUAGAGGAAGGAGAAGUCGUAACA
RNAcentral lists this ribosomal RNA (322 nucleotides) under uncultured eukaryote. RNAcentral's name for it is "partial 18S ribosomal RNA". It matches the Rfam family "Eukaryotic small subunit ribosomal RNA", at positions 1470 to 1796 of the family's 1831-position model. The record is from RNAcentral.